AAGCUAAAAUGUUGGACUGAUAAACCGUGGUUCUGAACAAACUCACUACUAGUAAUUUUGCUGAACUAAUAAGCGAGUGUUUAUCUAGAACCUAACAUACUCUUCCUCCUGUCCUAGUUUCCAAGAGCAAUUUGUCAUGUCUGACUUUCCAGGCUUUUGUAAAUGGAGGUUUACUGGCUACAUCAAGAUAAAGAUGAAAUGUAUCUCAAUAAAUGCAUGAUGGAUGACAGUGGGGAUGAUAUA
RNAcentral lists this long non-coding RNA (243 nucleotides) under Sus scrofa (pig). Its description in RNAcentral is "lncRNA (ENSSSCG00015072781.1)". The record is from RNAcentral. Lineage: Eukaryota; Metazoa; Chordata; Mammalia; Artiodactyla; Suidae.